This is a long non-coding RNA of Drosophila nasuta, 4021 nucleotides long. RefSeq lists it as uncharacterized. The transcript is spliced from 5 exons. The record is from RefSeq and is a predicted model, not a curated record. NCBI's taxonomy places the organism in Eukaryota, Metazoa, Arthropoda, Insecta, Diptera, Drosophilidae.
UCGAUCAAACGCAAAAGAAUUUUUUUUGAUUUGCAAACAAAUCUUGCUCACAAAAUGGCGCAGUAGUUGGUUAAAAACAAUUCAAUGUGCUGAUAUUAUAAAAAAAUGUUAUUUCAAUCAAUUUGCGCAUUCGGCAGAAGCUGGAGGAUGGAAAAGUGGCAACGCGCGUUUAUCACUGCACUCAAUCCAGAUGAAACUAAACUCAAAACAACCAUGAUUCAAGAUGUACUUAAAGAAGAUUUCGUUUGCGAAUCUGAAACAUAUUAUUGAUAAACAAGUGGAUACAUUAGCAUCAACACUUGGACUUUUUAUCAUGUUAUGAUGAGUAUUUUGGAUUCCAUUCGAUUGAUUGAAGUACAAUUUUAUCAAAGAGAAUGAACAGUUCAUUCCCUUGCAAAGAGGAUUUCUAUUGGGAUUGGGAUACCUACAUAUGCCGCAGGGUUUGGAUCUUUGGAUGACGAUCAUUUUUCCUUGUCUUAGAGAAGAUUUACCGUCUAACGAUUUAACAGCGCUACGAAUUUUAUAUUCACAUGGAAAGAUUUAGUUGAACUAUUAAAGAUAGUUUGAAAACAAUGGCAAAGAUGAGGAUACAGCAUUGAGGCAAAUAAUUAUAUUAUUAUUAUUCUUUGGUAGACUUUUCUUAGAGGUUUUGAGAUCUAAUUAACUAAUUGAUUGACAUAUGAUUGAUGAUUGGUUGAUGUAUUUUGAUUUAUUUGAAAAAUGUUCAAUAUGAUUUAUAUUUCUGUUUUUAUACUUCGGAACUGUUCGUCAAGUGAGAGACUGUUUAAAUAGAAUUUUACGUUCACUCUUUAUAAUAUUAUAUUAUAUAUCAUUGAGAAUAUUAGUUGUAUUGAACAGUCAAAGAUUUCUAUGGCAAACAGACAGAAGAAUUUUAAGAGGAUAACUUGAAAAUAAGCAACUCUUCGCUAUACUAUAGCUAUAGUAUGUUAUGAGCAGAGUCUUUUUCUUUUGGCUUAUGGAUUUUAUUUUCUGAAUUAAUUAAUUACAAGAAUUUGAAUCAGAAUAACAAUCUACAUCAAUCUUAGUAAAAGUUUUUCUCAUAAGAAAGAUCUACAUAGAAGAAUAUAUAAAAGUAAAUGCAUUUCUCUAUCAGCAGAAUUGUCAAUCAAAUCGCAAACUAGAAUAACAAUCUAGUUCAUAUACUUAAAGCGUUGUCAAGCUAUUAUUAGAUUAUUUUCGACAGUUAAAGAUGAAUGUGACAUGAAUGAAUUAAAAGCAGGGAAAUAAUCGAUCUACUACAAAAAUUGAUUAAUCGCAAAUAUAACAAAAUGAAAUGAAAUUAUAAUAAAAACCUGAGAUUAACAAUCUUGUUUCCUUAAAUAUGCAUCAUUUGAAAUUCAAUAUCAUUUUGUAUUCUGUCCAAAUUUUUAAACAAAUAUCUAUGAAACUCUACUCUCUACUCGAUUAAAAACUUCUAUACCAAGUUGUUUUAAUAUAAGAACAUUUUUAAUCGAAACUGAGAAAACUUGAUUGAGGUAAGAAAACUUACAAGGUUAUUAUAAAUUGAUGGUUUUCUUGUUUGAUGUUGUGAAUUUUUGUUUAGUAAAUCAAAGAAAAACUCAACAAUUACAAUAAUAACGCAUGCUAAAUAAUAUUUUGAAUCACCAAAUGAAUGAAUAUAGUAAGUGCGUUAGGUUCUGUCAAAAUUAAAUUAGAAUUUCGUUUAGGUUUUUUAAUUUCAAAAUGCUGUUCGAUUUUUGUAUUUUAUUUUACGUGUAUAGUUAGAUAGCAAAUCUAAUGCCCUUAGUUUUAAUACUCUUCUAUAAAUUUGAAUAUAGUAUAGUGCAUAAACAUAUAAAUAGAAGAGUAGAGAGAGAGAGAGAGAGAAACACGGAGAUAGAGAGAGAAAGUGAGGGAAUUGGCAAUAAAAGAAUAUCUUUGUUUUGAGAGAAAUGUUGCCACUUCUGUAAAAUAUAAAAUAAAAAAGCGAAUAUUUUAAAUUUAUAUUUAUAACAGAAGCUGUCAUCUUAAUGCUGAUACAUGGCGUAUACGUAAUCCGCCUAUAUUGUUCUUGUAUUUAUUGUUUUUUAUUUAUUUAACAUGGAAGUACACUGUAUUUAUAGGGAGAGAAAUUAAUGACAAUAUAAGAAAUAUAUAGAGCACACUUUGUGAGAUCUGCUUUUUGAAGACUCAAAGCUUUGAACCCUCUUAGCAACAUGAAAAUAAAUCCAAUCAUUUCUAUGUUGUGACUAUCAAAAACUGAUAGACCAAGGCAGACUGACCUUUUUAGCCUCUUGUGUCGGCUGCUUAUAUACAUAAAUGCCUAAAUUUGAUUGGUGUAGUUUCAAAACAAUUUCCGAUUGGUAGAAUAGUACAAAAAGACUUCUCUUAAGUAUAUAGAGAAUCGUAGAGCAUGUAGAGAAUCGUUCAAAUUCGACUAGUUUAAAUUUCAAGCUACAUAAGUUUAGGCGUUUUUGAUACGUAUUUAGUAUAGCACUUAGCUUCAGAAUGAGCAGAAUUGCGAUAUAUUCAGUCUUGAUUCUGGUUGUUCAAGGAAUAUCCUUUGGAGGAGCAGCAAUCAAUCCAGAGGUGCAAAUAAAUAUAUAUUAUACAGUGUGUGUUAAAACUAAAAUAAUUUCCCAUUCAUCAGAAAUGUCAACUUGCAGAACCAAAUCAACAUAACUAUAACGUUGUGAAGUCCCUGUUAAAAUAUGUGCGACAUAUUAAAAGUGAACUUGAAACAAAUGAUUUGCAGAAUAGAAAUAACGAAAUUGUUAUUAAAGUGUUGAGAGAUCAGAUAGAUGAUCUUAAAAAAAAUAUUGAAUUUCAAAAAGAAACUAUUCUCAAACUAACUGAAAUUUCAAAAAUGACAGAUAGUUGUAAUAAUUUAAUUUUGAAAUUGACCAAUAGGAAUGACGAGAAUUUCAAAGAACUUAAUAGAACUUUUGUUGAAAAAAGUGACAGUUUAGUUAAGUUGGAAAAUAACUUCAAUGAGUUUAAUGCAAAAUAUGUUGAAAUUAAUAUUGGGCUAUUCAAAUGUGAAAAUAAAUUCAGCGAGCUUAACAAAGCACUUAUAGAAACGAAUGAGAGUCUAGUAAAGUGUGAAUGUAACUUCAAUGAGCUUAACGAAACAUUUGUUGAGCAGAAUAAUGAGUUGUUAAAGCAAAGAAAAGACUUACAAAUGUGCAAAACAGAUAACGAAAUGUUAAAGACAAAUGAGAAAAGGAUUUCAGAUAGUUACACUUCGAAUAUUCGUUCAAUAAAUAUACCUGACUAUGGUUCAUUCGAUGUGUUGUUCGAUAAUAAGACAACUGAAAAAGACUGGAUAGUAAUCCAACAGAGAGUAGAUGGAAAAGAAAAUUUUUAUCGCGAUUGGAAUACGUACGUAGCAGGUUUUGGAUCAUUUGAGGGAGAUUUCUUUCUAGGCUUAGAGAAGAUUCAUCAACUAACGUACUCGGCACGCUAUCAACUCCGGAUUCGCAUGGAAGACUUCAAUGGAACAAUACUAUACGCUGACUACGAUAAUUUUAAAGUUGACAGCAAUGAAACGCACUACACAUUGAGCAGUUUGGGUCAAUAUUCUGGCUAAAAACACGGUAAAUACUGGGCCGACGACAACUUACGAGCGAGCGAAGGUAUGAAAUUCGCAACGUUUGAUAAUAUGAUGGGGAACCGGUGUCCAAUGAUCCGUCAUGGAGGAUGGUGGGGUUGCUCAGUCUGCAAUUUAACUGGAGAAUACUCAGCGAUAGACAGCAAGCUAUUUAAGUACAUGUCUUGGGCUUUCUAUGUGCAUCUUAAGAGGGCUCAAAUGAUGAUACGAAAAUAUCAACCAUCAUAUAUUACAAAAUAAUUCUGUCGAUUAUAAUUGAAUCAGCUGUCUAACGCACUUUCCGUUUGUAUCACAAAAAAGGUCAGCAUGUUGACACUGGGCGUAUACGUGAUAUGCUGAUUAUGAGCAUUCAACCGAUGACGUUUGCUUGGCAGAUUACUUCAUUGUCUACACUACAAUCAAUAAAAUUAUAAUCGAGAGUAAGAGUAAGAAUAAAAAUCUUCUGAGGUA